AACCUAGCACACCUGCGGUGUGUACCUGCGGAGGGAUCAUAACCGAGUUUACAAACUCCCAACCCUUUGUGAACCUUACCAUAUUGUUGCUUCGGCGGGACCGCCCCGGCGCCUUCGGGCCCGGAACCAGGCGCCCGCCGGAGGCCCCAAACUCUUAUGUCUUUAGUGGUUUUCUCCUCUGAGUGACACAUAAACAAAUAAAUAAAAACUUUUAACAAUGGAUCUCAGAUCGGAAGAGCA
RNAcentral lists this unclassified non-coding RNA (240 nucleotides) under soil metagenome. RNAcentral describes it as "partial contains 5.8S ribosomal RNA, internal transcribed spacer 2, and large subunit ribosomal RNA". The record is from RNAcentral.